CUACGGGGUGCUGCAGUUAGGAAUAUUGGACAAUGGGGGCAACCCUGAUCCAGCCAUGCCGCGUGAGUGAUGAAGGCCUUCGGGUUGUAAAGCUCUUUAGCCGACGAAUAUAAUGACUGUAGUCGGAGAAUAAGCCCCGGCUAACUUCGUGCCAGCAGCCGCGGUUAUACGAAGGGGGCGAGCGUUAUUCGGAAUUACUGGGCGUAAAGCGUGCGUAGGCGGUUAAGCAAGUUAGAAGUGAAAUCCCAGAGCUCAACUUUGGAAUUGCUUUUAAAACUGUUUAACUUGAAUUCGGUAGAGGAUAGCGGAAUUAUCAGUGUAGCAGUGAAAUGCGUAGAUAUUGAUAGGAACACCAGUGGCGUAGGCGGCUAUCUGGACCGACAUUGACGCUGAGGUACGAAAGCGUGGGGAGCAAACAGGAUUAGAUACCCUCGUAGUC
RNAcentral lists this ribosomal RNA (439 nucleotides) under uncultured bacterium. Its description in RNAcentral is "partial 16S ribosomal RNA". It matches the Rfam family "Bacterial small subunit ribosomal RNA", at positions 339 to 795 of the family's 1533-position model. The record is from RNAcentral.